AGUGAACGCUGGCGGUAGGCCUAACACAUGCAAGUCGAACGGCAGCACAGUAAGAGCUUGCUCUUACGGGUGGCGAGUGGCGGACGGGUGAGGAGUACAUCGGAAUCUACUUUUUCGUGGGGGAUAACGUAGGGAAACUUACGCUAAUACCGCAUACGACCUACGGGUGAAAGCAGGGGAUCUUCGGACCAUGCGCGUUUGAAUGAGCCGAUGUCGGAUUAGCUAGUUGGCGGGGGAAAGGCCCACCAAGGCUUUGAUCCGUAGCUGGCCUGAGAGGGUGACCGGCCACAUUGGGACUGCGGGACGGCCCAGACUCCUACGGGAGGCAGCAGUGGGGAAUAUUGCACAAUGGGCGGAAGCCUGAUGCAGCAACGCCGCGGGCGGGAUGACGGCCUUCGGGUUGUAAACCGCUUUCGCCGGUGACGAAGCGUGAGUGACGGUAAUGGGUAAAGAAGCACCGGCUAACUACGUG
RNAcentral lists this ribosomal RNA (472 nucleotides) under uncultured bacterium. RNAcentral's name for it is "partial 16S ribosomal RNA". It matches the Rfam family "Bacterial small subunit ribosomal RNA", at positions 30 to 507 of the family's 1533-position model. The record is from RNAcentral.